Molecule: ribosomal RNA, 460 nt
Filed under: uncultured bacterium
Lineage: Bacteria
Description: partial 16S ribosomal RNA
Rfam family: Bacterial small subunit ribosomal RNA
Source: RNAcentral
CCUACGGGAGGCAGCAGUGAGGAAUAUUGGUCAAUGGGCGAGAACCUGAACCAGCCAAGUCGCGUGAAGGAUGAAGGUUCUAUGGUUUGUAAACUUCUUUUAUAUGGGAAUAAAGUGCGGUACGUGUCCCUUUUUGUAUGUACCCUAUGAAUAAGCAUCGGCUAACUCCGUGCCAGCAGCCGCGGUAAUACGGAGGAUGCGAGCGUUAUCCGGAUUUAUUGGGUUUAAAGGGUGCGUAGGUGGUUAGUUAAGUCAGCGGUGAAAGUUUGUGGCUCAACCGUAAAAUUGCCGUUGAUACUGGUAGACUUGAGUAUAUUUGAGGUAGGCGGAAUGCGUGGUGUAGCGGUGAAAUGCAUAGAUAUCACGCAGAACUCCGAUUGCGAAGGCAGCUUACUAGACUAUAACUGACACUGAGGCACGAAAGCGUGGGGAUCAAACAGGAUUAGAUACCCUAGUAGUC